ACAUCCAGAGAAUUUAGCAGAGAUGCUUUAGUGCCUUCGGGAACUCUGAGACAGGUGCUGCAUGGCUGUCGUCAGCUCGUGUUGUGAAAUGUUGGGUUAAGUCCCGNAACGAGCGCAACCCCUAUCCUUUGUUGCCAGCGAUUCGGUCGGGAACUCAAAGGAGACUGCCGGUGAUAAACCGGAGGAAGGUGGGGAUGACGUCAAGUCAUCAUGGCCCUUACGAGUAGGGCUACACACGUGCUACAAUGGCGCAUACAAAGAGAAGCGACCUCGCGAGAGCAAGCGGACCUCAUAAAGUGCGUCGUAGUCCGGAUUGGAGUCUACAACUCGACUCCAUGAAGUCGGAAUCGCUAGUAAUCGUAGAUCAGAAUGCUACGGUGAAUACGUUCCCGGGCCUUGUACACACCGCCCGUCACACCAUGGGAGUGGGUUGCAAAAGAAGUAGAUAGCUUAACCUUCGGGAGGGCGUUUACCACUUUGUGAUUCAUGACUGGGGUGAAGUCGUAACAAGGUAGGCGUAGCGAG
Molecule: ribosomal RNA, 525 nt
Filed under: uncultured bacterium
Lineage: Bacteria
Description: bacterial SSU rRNA
Rfam family: Bacterial small subunit ribosomal RNA
Source: RNAcentral